Molecule: ribosomal RNA, 1299 nt
Filed under: Triticum aestivum (bread wheat)
Lineage: Eukaryota; Viridiplantae; Streptophyta; Magnoliopsida; Poales; Poaceae
Description: partial small subunit ribosomal RNA
Source: RNAcentral
AUGAGAGGUAAUGUCAGUGGCCUGAAAAAACUGAUUAUGGAUGAGUCCCCUUCUGCCUACUAUGUUCAUUGUUUUGCCCAUCAACUACAAUUAACUCUUGUUGCUGUUGCUAAGGAGAGUGGUGAUUGUACUUGGUUCUUUCAGCAGCUUGCACACUUGUUAAAUGCUCUUGGCAUGUCUUGUAAAAAAAUGAGAAUGCUUCGGAUAGCUCAGGCUGAAGAACUCAUUGAUGCAUUGGAAUUGGAAGAAGUAGAAACAGGGAGUGGGCUGAAUCAGGAAAUGGGUUUGGGAAGGCCAUGUGAUACACGUUGGGGCUCUCACUUCAAAACUGUGAACCAUGUCAUCUUUAUGUAUGGUGCACUACGACGAGUCCUUCGCAAGAUUGGAGACGAGUACCAUGGUGCGGAGGCACAAGCGGCUCUAUCCAUAGAGACAAUAUUUCGAUCAUUUGAGUUUGUUUUCAUGGCACACUUGAUGCAAGAAAUAUUUGGAUACACAUAUGAGUUGUGUAGAGCUUUGCAAAAGCAAGACGAAGAUAUUGUUCAUGCUAUUGAGCUUGUUGCUGACACAAAGUAUUACUUGGAGGCUUUGAGGACCGAUGCUGGAUGGGAUGAUUUUCUCACAUAGGUCACAUCUUUUUGUACAAAGCAUAAGAUCAAAGUUGUUGAUAUGGAGGGUCCUUACUUUCCCGUUGGUCGGCCUAGAAGGGGUUUAUGUAAUGGUCCGACCAAUUACCACCGCUUCAAGGUUGAUAUGUUUGUGGGUGUCAUUGAUAGGCAAAUCAGUGAGCUGAAUGGCAGAUUUGAUGAGGUAAACACGGAGCUACUUUCUUGCAUGGCAGCAUUUUGUCCACUUCAUCUAUUUGCUGCUUAUGACCAAGAGAAGUUAGUUAGGCUUGCUACAAAGUUUUAUGCUUCUGAUUUUACAAGGGAUGAACUGGCAAGACUUCCAUGGCAACUAAACAUGUAUGUUACUAAUGUGCGUAGAGAUGCAAAGUUUCAAAACCUGAAAAAUCUGUGUCAGCUUUCAGUUAUGCUUGUUGAGACAAACAAGCAUGAACAAUAUCAUAUUGUUUACAGGCUUCUUAAGUUGGUAUUGAUUCUGCCAGUAGCUACUGCUAGUGUUGAAAGGGUAUUCUCUUCAAUGAACUAUGUGAAGAAUAAGCUAAGGAACAAAAUGGGUGAUGAUUAUUUGAACAAUUGUUUGGUUACAUUUGUUGAGAGGGAAUUUUUCAAUCAAGUGAAGGAUGAAGAUGUCAUCAAUCUGUUCCAAAAAGGCGACCGCAAAGUUAUAUUGUAA